ACGCUGGCGGCACGCCUAACACAUGCAAGUCGAACGAAGUAGCAAUACUUAGUGGCAGACGGGUGAGUAACAUGUAGGUAUCUGCCCUUUGGCCUGGAAUAACACGAGGAAACUUGUGCUAAUACCGGAUAAGUCUUUACGGAGAAAGCUUUAUGCACCAUUGGAUGAGCCUGCACUUGAUUAGUUUGUUGGUGGGGUAAUGGCCUACCAAGACUGUGAUCAAUAGCUGAUUUGAGAGGAUGAUCAGCCACAUUGGGACUGAGACACGGCCCAAACUCCUACGGGAGGCAGCAGUGGGGAAUCUUGCACAAUGGAGGAAACUCUGAUGCAGCGAUGCCGCGUGAGUGAAGAAGGCCCUUGGGUUGUAAAGCUCUUUCGUCGGGGAAGAAAAUGACUGUACCCGAAUAAGAAGGUCCGGCUAACUUCGUGCCAGCAGCCGCGGUAAUACGAAGGGACCUAGCGUAGUUCGGAAUUACUGGGCUUAAAGAGUUCGUAGGUGGUUGAAAAAGUUAGUGGUGAAAUCCCAGAGCUUAACUCUGGAACUGCCAUUAAAACUUUUCAGCUAGAGUAUGAUAGAGGAAAGCAGAAUUUCUAGUGUAGAGGUGAAAUUCGUAGAUAUUAGAAAGAAUACCAAUUGCGAAGGCAGCUUUCUGGAUCAUUACUGACACUGAGGAACGAAAGCAUGGGUAGCGAAGAGGAUUAGAUACCCUCGUAGUCCAUGCCGUAAACGAUGUGUGUUAGACGUUGGAAAUUUAUUUUCAGUGUCGCAGGGAAACCGAUAAACACACCGCCUGGGGAGUACGACCGCAAGGUUAAAACUCAAAUGAAUUGACGGGGACCCGCACAAGUAGUGGAGCAUGUGGUUUAAUUCGAAGAUACGCGCAGAACCUUACCAACACUUGACAUGUUCGUCGCGACUCUAAGAGAUUAGAGUUUUCGGUUCGGCCGGACGAAACACAGGUGCUGCAUGGCUGUCGUCAGCUCGUGUCGUGAGAUGUUGGGUUAAGUCCCGCAACGAGCGCAACCCUCACUUUUAGUUGCCAUCAUUAAGUUGGGCACUCUGAAAGAACUGCCAGUGAUAAGCUGGAGGAAGGUGGGGAUGACGUCAAGUCCUCAUGGCCCUUACGUGUUGGGCUACACACGUGCUACAAUGGUAUCUACAACAGGAAGCAAGACUGCGAAGUUAAGCAAAUCCCUAAAAGAUACCUCAGUUCGGAUUGCACUCUGCAACUCGAGUGCAUGAAGCUGGAAUUACUAGUAAUCGUGGAUCAGCGUGCCACGGUGAAUGCGUUCCCGGGUCUUGUACACACCGCC
Molecule: ribosomal RNA, 1314 nt
Filed under: uncultured Alphaproteobacteria bacterium
Lineage: Bacteria; Pseudomonadati; Pseudomonadota; Alphaproteobacteria
Description: uncultured alpha proteobacterium 16S ribosomal RNA
Rfam family: Bacterial small subunit ribosomal RNA
Source: RNAcentral